RNAcentral lists this ribosomal RNA (499 nucleotides) under uncultured organism. Its description in RNAcentral is "bacterial SSU rRNA". It matches the Rfam family "Bacterial small subunit ribosomal RNA", at positions 416 to 917 of the family's 1533-position model. The record is from RNAcentral.
CUAUGGGUUGUAAACUGCUUUUAUAAGGGAAUAAAGUGAGUCUCGUGAGACUUUUUGCAUGUACCUUAUGAAUAAGGACCGGCUAAUUCCGUGCCAGCAGCCGCGGUAAUACGGAAGGUCCGGGCGUUAUCCGGAUUUAUUGGGUUUAAAGGGAGCGUAGGCCGGAGAUUAAGCGUGUUGUGAAAUGUAGACGCUCAACGUCUGCACUGCAGCGCGAACUGGUUUCCUUGAGUACGCACAAAGUGGGCGGAAUUCGUGGUGUAGCGGUGAAAUGCUAGAUAUCACGAAGAACUCCGAUUGCGAAGGCAGCUCACUGGAGCGCAACUGACGCUGAAGCUCGAAAGUGCGGGUAUCGAACAGGAUUAGAUACCCUGGUAGUCCGCACGGUAAACGAUGGAUGCCCGCUGUUGGUCUGAAUAGGUCAGCGGCCAAGCGAAAGCAUUAAGCAUCCCACCUGGGGAGUACGCCGGCAACGGUGCAACUCAAAGGAAUUGACGGA